RNAcentral lists this small RNA (100 nucleotides) under Pan troglodytes (chimpanzee). RNAcentral's name for it is "processed transcript". Lineage: Eukaryota; Metazoa; Chordata; Mammalia; Primates; Hominidae. The record is from RNAcentral.
UAUUUGUAUCUCCACCUACACACGGCAGGCCAGAAUUAAAUUUAUUUACCCUACUUAAUUAUGUUCUGCCAUUGAGGAAUCCAUGAGAUUUGAGAGUCAG